GAAUAUUGCGCAAUGGGCGAAAGCCUGACGCAGCCAAGCCGCGUGUGUGAAGAAGGCCUUCGGGUUGUAAAGCACUUUCAGUAAGGAAGAAGGCCAGGGGGCUAAUACCUUUCUGGAUUGACAUUACUUACAGAAGAAGCACCGGCUAACUCCGUGCCAGCAGCCGCGGUAAUACGGAGGGUGCGAGCGUUAAUCGGAAUUACUGGGCGUAAAGCGCGCGUAGGCGGUUUUUUAAGUCGGAUGUGAAAUCCCCGGGCUUAACCUGGGAACUGCAUCCGAUACUGGGAGACUUGAGUACGAGAGAGGGAGGUAGAAUUCCACGUGUAGCGGUGAAAUGCGUAGAUAUGUGGAGGAAUACCGGUGGCGAAGGCGGCCUCCUGGUUCGAUACUGACGCUGAGGUGCGAAAGCGUGGGGAGCAAACAGG
This 425-nucleotide ribosomal RNA is filed under the name uncultured bacterium. RNAcentral describes it as "bacterial SSU rRNA". It matches the Rfam family "Bacterial small subunit ribosomal RNA", at positions 359 to 776 of the family's 1533-position model. The record is from RNAcentral.